RNAcentral lists this ribosomal RNA (253 nucleotides) under uncultured bacterium. Its description in RNAcentral is "partial 16S ribosomal RNA". It matches the Rfam family "Bacterial small subunit ribosomal RNA", at positions 524 to 776 of the family's 1533-position model. The record is from RNAcentral.
UACAGAGGGUGCGAGCGUUGUCCGGAAUCACUGGGCGUAAAGGGCGCGUAGGCGGAUAGUUUAGUCAGAGGUGAAAGCCCAGGGCUCAACCUUGGAAUUGCCUUUGAUACUGGCUAUCUUGAGUUCGGGAGAGGUGAGUGGAAUGCCGAGUGUAGAGGUGAAAUUCGUAGAUAUUCGGCGGAACACCAGUGGCGAAGGCGACUCACUGGCCCGAUACUGACGCUGAGGCGCGAAAGCGUGGGGAGCAAACAGG